GUCUUCCUGAAUCAACAUGGCACUGAGGAAUUCAAGAGAGCAAGCGAAAGGAAUAAAAUCAAUCGGUCCAAGCUAAAAGGACCUGUGUGUCUUGGGAGGAACAGCAUGGCUGUUAUUCGCCAUUAGAUGGCAAAGGAGAGGAAUCUUACCUCUGAUGCCAAGAUAGGUAGAUGUGAUGUUUACUUAAGAGCCCAUACAAGCGAGGACAAAGUUGUCCAGUAUCCUGACCUUGUUGAAAAAUUAGAUGAGCUUUAUUCUAGUAAUCCUUCUUCUAAGAUUACCGGCGUUGACAAUGCCCUUACAUAGUUGGUUGGUUCUGACAGUAGAGGGCGAAUGCGAGGUCUAGGUUGCUCAAUAACUAAGACAGGACUGAAGAUGUUAGCCCCUGCCCGUUCAAAGGUAGAGAAUUUGAUAAAAGAAGAGAUGGCCUAGUGCAGGAGAUAUUUGAUAUAAAGAAAUCAUUGGCCAAGAUGGAGGCCUGGAUGGAGUUGCAGCAACACGCAUAAUCUACUUAAAACCUCUCAUCACCAACAAUUGUUAAAUCUGCUCAGGCAUCGUCACCGGAUGUUAUAUAUAUCGGUAGGAGAUGCGACUUGCUUGGUUGGGGAAAUCAUGAUGUAGUUGCUCGUGGUCAAGUACACGAAGUUAAUCCAAAUACCGUUGUCCAUUACGAACCAUUAGAGGAGGG
Molecule: long non-coding RNA, 688 nt
Organism: Magnolia sinica
Lineage: Eukaryota; Viridiplantae; Streptophyta; Magnoliopsida; Magnoliales; Magnoliaceae
Exons: 5
Source: RefSeq, a predicted model, not a curated record